GUAGGUGACAAGCGUUGUCCGGAUUUACUGGGUGUAAAGGGCGCGUAGGCGGACCGGCAAGUCAGGAGUGAAAUACUGGGGCUCAACCCCGGGGCUGCUUUUGAAACUGUCGGCCUUGAGUAUCGGAGAGGAAAGCGGAAUUCCCAGUGUAGCGGUGAAAUGCGUAGAUAUUGGGAGGAACACCAGUGGCGAAGGCGGCUUUCUGGACGACAACUGACGCUGAGGCGCGAAAGUGUGGGGAGCAAACAGGAUUAGAUACCCUGGUAGUCCACACCGUAAACGAUGGAUACUAGGUGUAGGAGGUAUCGACCCCUUCUGUGCCGCAGUAAACACAAUAAGUAUCCCACCUGGGGAGUACGCACGCAAGAAUG
RNAcentral lists this ribosomal RNA (371 nucleotides) under uncultured bacterium. RNAcentral's name for it is "bacterial SSU rRNA". It matches the Rfam family "Bacterial small subunit ribosomal RNA", at positions 527 to 896 of the family's 1533-position model. The record is from RNAcentral.